GCCCGGAUAGUUAAGUGGCAAAAUAAGCCCUUGGUAAGGGCUAGGCACGGGUUCGAUUCCCGUUCCGGGCU
This 71-nucleotide transfer RNA is filed under the name Candidatus Woesebacteria bacterium. RNAcentral's name for it is "tRNA-Thr". It matches the Rfam family "tRNA". Rfam says of the family: Transfer RNA (tRNA) molecules are approximately 80 nucleotides in length. Their secondary structure includes four short double-helical elements and three loops (D, anti-codon, and T loops). The record is from RNAcentral. RNAcentral also lists the same sequence under 2 other names. Lineage: Bacteria; Candidatus Woeseibacteriota.